AGUGAACGCUGGCGGUAGGCCUAACACAUGCAAGUCGAACGGCAGCACAGUAAGAGCUUGCUCUUACGGGUGGCGAGUGGCGGACGGGUGAGGUAUACAUCGUAAUCUACUUUUUCGUGGGGGAUAACAUAGGGAAACUUACGCUCAUACCGCAUACGACCUACGGGUGAAAGCAGGGGAUCUUCUCACCGUUCGCGGUUGAAUGAGCCGCUGUCGGAUUAGUUCGUUGGCGGGGUAAAGGCCCACCCAGGGGACGAUUCGUAGCUGGUCUGAGAGGAGGGUCAGCCACCCUGGAACGGGACCACGGUCCGGACGACUAAGGGAGGCAGCAGUGGGGAAUAUUGGACAAUGGGCGCAAGCCUGACACAGCCAUACCGCGUGGGUGAAGAAGGCCUUCGGGUUGUAAAGACCUUUUGUUGGGAAAGAAAAGCAGCGGGUUAAUACCCAGCUGUUCUGACGGUACCCAAAGAAGAAGCACCGGCUAACUUCGUG
This 492-nucleotide ribosomal RNA is filed under the name uncultured bacterium. RNAcentral's name for it is "partial 16S ribosomal RNA". It matches the Rfam family "Bacterial small subunit ribosomal RNA", at positions 29 to 507 of the family's 1533-position model. The record is from RNAcentral.